Molecule: ribosomal RNA, 16 nt
Filed under: Pichia norvegensis
Lineage: Eukaryota; Fungi; Ascomycota; Pichiomycetes; Pichiales; Pichiaceae
Also listed under: 3 other names
Description: partial 28S ribosomal RNA
Source: RNAcentral
UCGACCUCAAAUCAGG